RNAcentral lists this long non-coding RNA (816 nucleotides) under Oryza sativa tropical japonica subgroup. RNAcentral describes it as "lncRNA OsKeNa_11g0014060". Lineage: Eukaryota; Viridiplantae; Streptophyta; Magnoliopsida; Poales; Poaceae. The record is from RNAcentral.
AUGGUGGAUCCAGUGAGUAGCGUGAAGCAUAUCACGGAGAUGGCUCUGAAGAUCAAGCAUGCGGCGGGGACGGACUGCCUCCAGAUCAGAAGGCGAGUGAUGAGAGUGAGCGAUAUAAUGUUGCUGCUGCAGGAAACGGAGAACAUCUUGAGCAACCCGGCAAUAAGCGCCGCGUUGGAGGAUCUCGCCGACACAAAUUUCUCACUGUACUCCUACCUUUUUUGCCUCUGUAACAGCGGGGAGAAUGGGCAAAAGUGGGAGCGGCAGCGACGGCAUCGGCAUGCGGUGGGAGCAGCGGCGGUCGUGGCGGCACGUGGUGGGAGCGGCGGCCCUGGGGGGGAGGGGAACGGCAGCCGUGGCAACGUGCGGUCGGAGCAGCAGUGGCCUCGACGACGACGGGGAACAUGGGUGACGGUAGGAGCGGGGAGGAGUCGGCCCGCGGCGGGAGCAGCGGUGGCCGUGGCAGCGCGUGGCGGCCGCCGCCGCGAUGGUGGGAGCGGCAGAGGCGUCGACUCGAGGUGGGAGCGGCGGUGAUGGCAUCAGCGCGCGGUGGGAGCAGGGGAGGCCGCGGCGGCGUGCGGCAACGUAACUGACAUGUGGGCCCCACCUACUAUUUUAUUUAUUUUUGCUGACUAGGAUGCCACGUCAUCAAAACCAGUCAUCAAUACUGCCUUGGGACCUAAAUUAGACGGUUUUGUAUAGUUUAGGGGUGAGGAUUUCUGGUUUUAUGGUUAAGUUGAGGGACCUCCGGUGAACUUAUUCCAAACCACUCCCAACCACAACGCGAGUCCAUUGAACUGGGCCAGACUAACGUAA